This 253-nucleotide ribosomal RNA is filed under the name uncultured bacterium. RNAcentral's name for it is "partial 16S ribosomal RNA". It matches the Rfam family "Bacterial small subunit ribosomal RNA", at positions 524 to 776 of the family's 1533-position model. The record is from RNAcentral.
UACGGAGGGUGCAAGCGUUAUCCGGAUUUACUGGGUUUAAAGGGUGCGUAGGUGGGUUGGUAAGUCAGUGGUGAAAUCUUCGAGCUUAACUCGGAAACUGCCAUUGAUACUAUCAAUCUUGAAUAUCCUGGAGGUAAGCGGAAUAUGUCAUGUAGCGGUGAAAUGCUUAGAUAUGACAUAGAACACCCAUUGCGAAGGCAGCUUACUACGGGAUCAUUGACACUGAGGCACGAAAGCGUGGGGAUCAAACAGG